Molecule: long non-coding RNA, 392 nt
Organism: Seriola aureovittata
Lineage: Eukaryota; Metazoa; Chordata; Actinopteri; Carangiformes; Carangidae
Exons: 3
Source: RefSeq, a predicted model, not a curated record
CUCCGCUUCACACGUGUUCUGUUAACCGUUAAUCAGCGUUACCCUAACCAUCGCCAGGUAUCUUAGAGUCUAACAAACUUUGCAAAGAUAUUUCCAGAAGUAACCUUUGAAUUAAAUUGUGUAUGGUCAUCAGAAGAGGAUGAAAGGAAGAAGCCUGGAUUCUUCAGCGCACAGGUGUAUUCAUAUAACAUCGUCAGCCCCUCUAUUGGCUCAUGGAGUUUCCCACCUCUACCAGUCACCUGACCUUCUCUCCCCUGAUCACCUGAUCCUCAUUACCUUACUGCCCUCUCCUCCAUGUUGACCUGCCUUCGAGUCAAGAAAUUAUAGACAGAAGAGUUUUUGUGGAUCCUGGAAACACCUUCUAACCUCCAGUAAGUGAUGUUAAUGACCCU